CCAACUGGCAAAAGAAAUUCAUCGAAAAUCAGACAGGGCAGGUUUUUUAGCAUCAAUAAGAAUCAGAACUGGAUGAACAUAAACAAACGUACCACUAUACGGAUUGUGAUGGACACUGCAUAUAUCUGCAAGAAGGGAGAAUAAGGUAGAGAAAUUCAUUAACUCUAAUACUGAAACCAAAAAGGGAAGGAAUUUUGUUCUCUGGAUAGAUAGCAGCAGAUGGUGCAAACUUACAG
RNAcentral lists this long non-coding RNA (236 nucleotides) under Linum usitatissimum (flax). RNAcentral describes it as "long non-coding RNA (LUSI_LNC000445)". The record is from RNAcentral. Lineage: Eukaryota; Viridiplantae; Streptophyta; Magnoliopsida; Malpighiales; Linaceae.